AACUUUGUCAGAGGGGAGUAACUAGAGGAUAGUAGAACUUUAAUUAUUAGCAACUACUAUUUAACACUUUAUCGUCAUUACGAAGGUAAGUCUUCCGGUAAAGUGGGCAAUACAAUUGCU
This 120-nucleotide small RNA is filed under the name Staphylococcus capitis. RNAcentral describes it as "Manganese sequence". It matches the Rfam family "Manganese Mn2+ riboswitch aptamer (yybP-ykoY)". From Rfam's summary of the family: This RNA was originally discovered in E. coli during a large scale screen and was named SraF. The family was later found to exist upstream of related families of protein genes in many bacteria, including the the yybP and ykoK genes in B. subtilis. The record is from RNAcentral. Lineage: Bacteria; Bacillati; Bacillota; Bacilli; Caryophanales; Staphylococcaceae.